GCCCUUGUAGCUCAAUGGUGGAGUACCUCCUUGGUAAGGAGAAGGUCAUGGGUUCGAUUCCCAUCAAGGGCU
This 72-nucleotide transfer RNA is filed under the name Ahnfeltia plicata. RNAcentral's name for it is "tRNA-Thr". It matches the Rfam family "tRNA". From Rfam's summary of the family: Transfer RNA (tRNA) molecules are approximately 80 nucleotides in length. Their secondary structure includes four short double-helical elements and three loops (D, anti-codon, and T loops). Further hydrogen bonds mediate the characteristic L-shaped molecular structure. tRNAs have two regions of fundamental functional importance: the anti-codon, which is responsible for specific mRNA codon recognition, and the 3' end, to which the tRNAs corresponding amino acid is attached (by aminoacyl-tRNA synthetases). tRNAs cope with the degeneracy of the genetic code in two manners: having more than one tRNA (with a specific anti-codon) for a particular amino acid; and 'wobble' base-pairing, i.e. permitting non-standard base-pairing at the 3rd anti-codon position. The record is from RNAcentral. Lineage: Eukaryota; Rhodophyta; Florideophyceae; Ahnfeltiales; Ahnfeltiaceae.